RNAcentral lists this microRNA precursor (216 nucleotides) under Trichophyton rubrum BMU01672. The record is from RNAcentral. Lineage: Eukaryota; Fungi; Ascomycota; Eurotiomycetes; Onygenales; Arthrodermataceae.
AACUGCAGCGAUGGUGUAAGAAGAGAGAGAGAGAGAGAGAGAGAGAGAUGGACGACCGCGCUGCAGAAGACACUCACUGCUUUUUGCAGGCGCAGCAGGCAGAUCAGGGCUGAUAUUACAAGAGACAAGGUCAAGACGACGGAUUAUCUUUCCCAGGACAUGCCAGGGUACUUCUUCUUUUACGUUAUAUGAUAUUUACUCUCUUCUGCUUCACUA